This 2223-nucleotide long non-coding RNA is filed under the name Capsicum annuum. RNAcentral describes it as "long non-coding RNA (CANN_LNC003680)". The record is from RNAcentral. Lineage: Eukaryota; Viridiplantae; Streptophyta; Magnoliopsida; Solanales; Solanaceae.
CUGCUCUGUCAUCACAUAUCCUAUGUUGUUAUGUCAGGAGGAACCAGACUCCAUCCCCCACGCUUGAAAUAAUAGACCCUGACCUUUUAAGUUAUCGAGUUCGGAAACGAGGAAUCAAGCAUGGAAAUGAAUGGAGUUUCCUCGGAGGAUCAACAGUAAUGCGUCAGCCUAACCUCCAAAAUAUUUCACAAGGAAGAAGCUGCAGGGUGUCUGCUAUGUGUAAUCUUUUCUUCCCACUGCUUUGUUAGUAUUUAUCAUUUAUCCUUGGUACUCAAUUCAUGUUUUGCUACCUUUUUUUGGUUCUCUUUGGAUAAUUAUUGGGCAUUCGCUAUAUACAGUCAGGAAUCUUAAUGUACAGUCAUCACAUAAUGAUGCACUUUAGGUAGUUAUGACAUCUCGAUACCAACACAUGUGUUAACAGAAUUAAACUUGAAACAUGGUGAAGAACGUUAACACUUUCAACUAGACAAAGCGGACCUACUUUCAUGUAGAAGGAAGUGUGGCAAAUGUGUGAUAGCUUUUGGUCUGUAGCUUCUCAGUAAGAUUGAUGGGAUGAAUUAUCAUAACCUUUUUCCGCUUAAUCUAUUAUGGAUGUCGCAGACGGCAUUUCAGGCAUGAUGAAUACAACGCAUGUUCUUUUCUUGAAAAGAAUACAUGUUCUAUUCUGUCAUUAUUUGUAAAUUAGUCAACGAAUAUUAAUGCUUCAGAUCAGAGGAUUUUCUUGCCAAUCCAAUAGUUAACCUUAGUUAAAUAGCUAAUCUAUUUUUAUAUGUGAGUUGUUGGGUGGUAUAUCGAAGAACAAAUCAUUGAUAUUCAAUCUGAACAAACCUCUCUUUGCAAAGAUUUCCGUAUCAUCUAUUUGGACUUUUGGGACAACUGGUGUCUUAUUUUUACAGGGUUGCCUAGUUCUCAAGGAAUGAGGAGGCUGUUAUGUUUUAAUUCUUGUUGUUUUUGUUCCUCCAAGUUAUUGUGCAAUUCUCAUACCAAUCAGCCAUGGCCUUAACUUCUACUUGCUUUUGUCUUUCCCAAUUCUCACUCAAGGUAUGCUCUUCUGCUACUCUAUAUUUAUUAGUUUGUAAUAUAUGUUGUGUCUUGAAAAAUUCUUCAUUUGUGCAGGUAAUUAAAUUGGUGUUUAUUGUUCUCAAUUUUUAAAUUGAAUUUCCAUACUGAAACAUACUGUUUACUAGUAAUACUUUUUGGUUAGAUCUGAAUUGUCACAUUUGAGAGCAGUUAAAACGCUAGUGAAGAUUUCAAGUAGAUAGUGAAGGGGCAAAUUUAUAGUCUAAAAUAUGGGGCGCGUGAACCCGUGGUCUCUCCAUAAAACAAGGUAUUUUAUGUACAUAUAUUUUCUAAAAUAAUAGUAUAAUAUUAUUAUCCAUUGGCCCCCAUAUUACAAGAAGGUUAAAUGUUGAGUUAUUUAUGUAGAGGGCUAGGGAUCAAUUCUCAUUUAAUAUACUUUUCCUUCUUUCUUUUUUUUUUUUUUUUUUACUGGUGCACCCAUGUUCUAGAAAUUCUAGAUUCGCUUAGUACAGAACAAUUAAGCAAUUAGAAGAGAUUAGAUGAACUUUUUCUAUCAUUUGAAGAUGUUUUUGGCUUUAGGAAUUAGGGGGUGUUUGGGAAGGAAAGCUUUGAAGAAUGAGGUGUUAGUCUUUGGAGGCUUAGCAAAUUGAAUGUCAAUCUGGGACCAUUGAAUUAUGCUAUUAGCAACAUAUCUUCAAUAAAAUUAAUCUAUACUUGGUAAUUUGAAAAAAAGAAAUGAGGUUUUCCUACUCAUUUAACACUCUAAUGAAAUGCCACCCUACUAAACUAUUAUGGUAUUAGAAGUAAUCAAUCUUUACUACUUACUGUAGAUGACCAGCUGGACACCUGCUCUGUCAUCACAUAUCCUAUGUUGUUAUGUCAGGAGGAACCAGACUCCAUCCCCCACGCUUGAAAUAAUAGACCCUGACCUUUUAAGUUAUCGAGUUCGGAAACGAGGAAUCAAGCAUGGAAAUGAAUGGAGUUUCCUCGGAGGAUCAACAGUAAUGCGUCAGCCUAACCUCCAAAAUAUUUCACAAGGAAGAAGCUGCAGGGUGUCUGCUAUGUGUAAUCUUUUCUUCCCACUGCUUUGUUAGUAUUUAUCAUUUAUCCUUGGUACUCAAUUCAUGUUUUGCUACCUUUUUUUGGUUCUCUUUGGAUAAUUAUUGGGCAUUCGCUAUAUACAGUCAGGAAUCUUAAUGUACA